RNAcentral lists this ribosomal RNA (253 nucleotides) under uncultured bacterium. RNAcentral describes it as "partial 16S ribosomal RNA". It matches the Rfam family "Bacterial small subunit ribosomal RNA", at positions 524 to 776 of the family's 1533-position model. The record is from RNAcentral.
UACAGAGGUCUCAAGCGUUGUUCGGAUUCAUUGGGCGUAAAGGGUGCGUAGGUGGCGGGGCAAGUUUGGUGUGAAAUCCCGGGGCUCAACCUCGGAACUGCACUGAAUACUGCCUUGCUAGAGCACUGGAGAGGGAACUGGAAUUUACGGUGUAGCAGUGAAAUGCGUAGAUAUCGUAAGGAAGACCAGUGGCGAAGGCGGGUCUCUGGACAGUUCCUGACGCUGAGGCACGAAGGUCAGGGGAGCAAACGGG